Molecule: non-coding RNA, 28 nt
Filed under: Rattus norvegicus (Norway rat)
Lineage: Eukaryota; Metazoa; Chordata; Mammalia; Rodentia; Muridae
Source: RNAcentral
UGGAGAUGCUUGUUUAAAUUUUUACUUA